UGGCAGUGCGGCAGCUAUACAUGCAGUCGAGCGGACAGAUGGGAGCUUGCUCCCUGAUGUUAGCGGCGGACGGGUGAGUAACACGUGGGUAACCUGCCUGUAAGACUGGGAUAACUCCGGGAAACCGGGGCUAAUACCGGAUGGUUGUUUGAACCGCAUGGUUCAGACAUAAAAGGUGGCUUCGGCUACCACUUACAGAUGGACCCGCGGCGCAUUAGCUAGUUGGUGAGGUAACGGCUCACCAAGGCGACGAUGCGUAGCCGACCUGAGAGGGUGAUCGGCCACACUGGGACUGAGACACGGCCCAGACUCCUACGGGAGGCAGCAGUAGGGAAUCUUCCGCAAUGGACGAAAGUCUGACGGAGCAACGCCGCGUGAGUGAUGAAGGUUUUCGGAUCGUAAAGCUCUGUUGUUAGGGAAGAACAAGUGCCGUUCAAAUAGGGCGGCACCUUGACGGUACCUAACCAGAAAGCCACGGCUAACUACGUGCCAGCAGCCGCGGUAAUACGUAGGUGGCAAGCGUUGUCCGGAAUUAUUGGGCGUAAAGGGCUCGCAGGCGGUUUCUUAAGUCUGAUGUGAAAGCCCCCGGCUCAACCGGGGAGGGUCAU
RNAcentral lists this ribosomal RNA (608 nucleotides) under Bacillus subtilis. RNAcentral describes it as "bacterial SSU rRNA". It matches the Rfam family "Bacterial small subunit ribosomal RNA", at positions 37 to 626 of the family's 1533-position model. The record is from RNAcentral. Lineage: Bacteria; Bacillati; Bacillota; Bacilli; Caryophanales; Bacillaceae.